RNAcentral lists this ribosomal RNA (465 nucleotides) under uncultured bacterium. RNAcentral's name for it is "partial 16S ribosomal RNA". It matches the Rfam family "Bacterial small subunit ribosomal RNA", at positions 28 to 507 of the family's 1533-position model. The record is from RNAcentral.
GACGAACGCUGGCGGCGUGCUUAACACAUGCAAGUCGUACGGUAAGGCCCUUUCGGGGGUCCACGAGUGGCGAACGGGUGAGUAACACGUGAGUAACCUGCCCACAACUUUGGGAUAACGCUAGGAAACUGGUGCUAAUACUGGAUAUGUGCUCCUGCUGCAUGGUGGGGGUUGGAAAGCUCCGGCGGUUGUGGAUGGACUCGCGGCCUAUCAGCUUGUUGGUGGGGUAGUGGCCUACCAAGGCGGCGACGGGUAGCCGGCCUGAGAGGGUGACCGGCCACAUUGGGACUGAGAUACGGCCCAGACUCCUACGGGAGGCAGCAGUGGGGAAUAUUGCACAAUGGGCGCAAGCCUGAUGCAGCAACGCCGCGUGCGGGAUGACGGCCUUCGGGUUGUAAACCGCUUUCAGCAGGGACGAAGCUUUUUGUGGCGGUACCUGCAGAAGAAGCACCGGCUAACUACGUG